ACUCUUCCUCUUGCGACAGCUUCUGGUGUUGGGAUGCUUGAAGAGAGCAGAUGGGCAGCCAUGGUUAAAACAUCCAAUCAAGACUACCACUCGCUGCCACAACACAAACCGCAACACAACGCCGCGUGUGAAGUGCUGUGGGGCCAACAAGGUGAAUUUGCAGCGGCCAGCUACCCGAGUCGUUUCCUGUCGCAAGACAUCUGCUUCCUGGGUGAGAAGGUCGACGCUCUGGCUCUUCUCUUCCAAUUGGAGGUCCAGGAUUUGGAGGCGGCUCUUUGCGUCUUCUAAUAGCGUUGAUAGGCUAGCUUCAGCGUCAGUCUUCUCCCUGAUCUGGAUCUGUAACCUGGUGAGCUAAAACACAAAAGUAACAUUAGGACAUUUCAACUUAAACCUUAUUAAAGCCUCCCUGAAACAUGA
Long non-coding RNA from Gadus morhua (Atlantic cod), 417 nucleotides. RefSeq lists it as uncharacterized. The record is from RefSeq and is a predicted model, not a curated record. The transcript has 2 exons. NCBI's taxonomy places the organism in Eukaryota, Metazoa, Chordata, Actinopteri, Gadiformes, Gadidae.